AUCACUGAGUCGUCCACUCCGGUGAGACGAUGAUGCUGACCCCAUUGCAGAGCUAGGGAGUAAAUCAUCCAAUCCAGCACCCAAUUUCCUAAGCAGUCCCUGAAGUGCACUGCUAGAUAAAGUCAAAUUCUUGUGCAAAAUUCCAACACCACCUUGGCUAUCAUUAUCAUCGUCCUCACCACCAGCACCACCACCGGAAUCUAUAUUUAAUCCCAGACUCCACUCAGCAUCCCUAUCCGUAACUCAAACCUCGUGUUCUUUCUCCUUAUCUAAUUCUCUCUUUCAUUAGUAAAUAAAGCCAUUCCAUCAGUUUUCAUGGCACUAAUUGUGUUUGACAAUGUACAAUUGUACUAUUUGUGAGAAAACAAAAAAGAAUUUGGAAGUUAUUGUUGUAUUUGUCAGAAUUAACAGAGGGUACCUAGUACGACGCCACUGAGUGAACAGAGAGAUACAAGAAUUCCACAAACUGUAGAAUUCCACCCUACAGUCAAACAAAAAGAUGCCAUGGCCCUAUGUUCAAGUAAUAGCAAAUAUUUUUAAAACUCAGUCUCUUUAAGAGAAUAAGCACAAAAAAUUGAUUCUUUGCAGGAAAUUAGGGCACUGAAAUCCUACGACACUUUGCAAUAAGCACAGAAAUACUAUUAGAAGUUAGAAAUUAAGGUACUAAAAUCCUAUGGCAUUGAAAUACCUGUUUCAAUAGAUUACUAAAAUUCAAUCGAAAGCGGUCGGAGCAUCGGUGGUCAGAGCAGUAGUAGAUCGGACCACUGAUUUGAGAUGUGGAGCACUCGAUCGAUCGGAUGUGUACUGGAGCCUAGAGCAUUGAUUUGAAGAUCAAUCGAUUCGGAGCAGUUGAUCGAUCUGGAGUAAACGAUGAUCGGACACCCAAACAUUUUGAUUUGAAGAUUUACUUAGUGUGUUAACCCUUGACACCAAAGUGGAUCAGUUAUUUUUUAAUUUAUUUUAUUUUUUGUGAUAUAAUUCAUUAUAUUUUGGGGCGCUUUGUAAAAAAUUGGGGAGGAAAAAAAUUAAAGUCGUUGCAAUAGCUUUUUUACUCAAUUAAGCGUUGCCAAAG
This 1072-nucleotide long non-coding RNA is filed under the name Capsicum annuum. RNAcentral's name for it is "long non-coding RNA (CANN_LNC013337)". Lineage: Eukaryota; Viridiplantae; Streptophyta; Magnoliopsida; Solanales; Solanaceae. The record is from RNAcentral.